UGCAUGUCUAAGUAUAAGCAAUUAUACAGCGAAACUGCGAAUGGCUCAUUAAAUCAGUUAUCGUUUAUUUGAUAGUACCUUACUACAUGGAUAACCGUGGUAAUUCUAGAGCUAAUACAUGCUGAAAACCCCGACUUUGGAAGGGGUGUAUUUAUUAGAUUAAAAACCAAUGCCCUCCGGGGCUCACUGGUGAUUCAUGAUAACUUCUCGAAUCGCACGGCCUUGCGCCGGCGAUGGUUCAUUCAAAUUUCUGCCCUAUCAACUUUCGACGGCUGGGUCUUGGCCAGCCGUGGUGACAACGGGUAACGGAGGGUUAGGGCUCGACCCCGGAGAAAACGCCUGAGAAACGGCGUUUACAUCCAAGGAAGGCAGCAGGCGCGCAAAUUACCCAAUGCCGACACGGCGAGGUAGUGACGAGAAAUACUGAUACAGGGCUCUUUUGGGUCUUGUAAUUGGAAUGAGUACAAUUUAAAUCUCUUAACGAGGAACAAUUGGAGGGCAAGUCUGGUGCCAGCAGCCGCGGUAAUUCCAGCUCCAAUAGCGUAUAU
RNAcentral lists this ribosomal RNA (548 nucleotides) under Magnaporthiopsis cynodontis. RNAcentral describes it as "SSU rRNA". It matches the Rfam family "Eukaryotic small subunit ribosomal RNA", at positions 52 to 604 of the family's 1831-position model. The record is from RNAcentral. Lineage: Eukaryota; Fungi; Ascomycota; Sordariomycetes; Magnaporthales; Magnaporthaceae.